AGCGAACGCUGGCGGCAGGCUUAACACAUGCAAGUCGAGCGCCCCGCAAGGGGAGCGGCAGACGGGUGAGUAACACGUGGGAACGUACCCUUUGGUUCGGAACAACCCAGGGAAACUUGGGCUAAUACCGGAUACGUCCGUAAGGAGAAAGAUUUAUCGCCAAAGGAUCGGCCCGCGUCUGAUUAGCCAGUUGGUGAGGUAAUGGCUCACCAAGGCUACGAUCAGUAGCUGGCCUGAGAGGAUGAUCAGCCACAUUGGGACUGAGACACGGCCCAAACUCCUACGGGAGGCAGCAGUGGGGAAUAUUGGACAAUGGGGGCAACCCUGAUCCAGCCAUGCCGCGUGAGUGAUGAAGGCCCUAGGGUUGUAAAGCUCUUUUAGCAGGGAAGAUAAUGACGGUACCUGCAGAAAAAGCCCCGGCUAACUUCGUGCCAGCCGCCGCCGUAA
This 447-nucleotide ribosomal RNA is filed under the name uncultured bacterium. RNAcentral describes it as "partial 16S ribosomal RNA". It matches the Rfam family "Bacterial small subunit ribosomal RNA", at positions 29 to 523 of the family's 1533-position model. The record is from RNAcentral.